This is a non-coding RNA of Capsicum annuum, 106 nucleotides long. NCBI's taxonomy places the organism in Eukaryota, Viridiplantae, Streptophyta, Magnoliopsida, Solanales, Solanaceae. The record is from Rfam.
AACUCAUGAUUUGGGCAUUGCAUUAUAUUAUCAUUGAACCAUUGACACACUUCAUACAAUGGUUCACGAUUAAGUUGGUAAAAGUUGGUGAUUUCGUCCCUUACUU